RNAcentral lists this ribosomal RNA (427 nucleotides) under uncultured bacterium. RNAcentral describes it as "bacterial SSU rRNA". It matches the Rfam family "Bacterial small subunit ribosomal RNA", at positions 355 to 774 of the family's 1533-position model. The record is from RNAcentral.
UAGGGAAUAUUGGACAAUGGGCGCAAGCCUGAUCCAGCCAUGCCGCGUGAGUGAAGAAGGCCCUCGGGUUGUAAAGCUCUUUUGUCCGGAAAGAAAAGCAUCGGGUUAAUACCCCGGUGUUCUGACGGUACCGGAAGAAUAAGCACCGGCUAACUUCGUGCCAGCAGCCGCGGUAAUACGAAGGGUGCAAGCGUUACUCGGAAUUACUGGGCGUAAAGCGUGCGUAGGUGGUUCGUUAAGUCUGAUGUGAAAGCCCUGGGCUCAACCUGGGAAUGGCAUUGGAAACUGGCGGACUGGAGUGCGGUAGAGGGUAGCGGAAUUCCCGGUGUAGCAGCGAAAUGCGUAGAGAUCGGGAGGAACAUCCGUGGCGAAGGCGGCUACCUGGACCAGCACUGACACUGAGGCACGAAAGCGUGGGGAGCAAACA